This is a non-coding RNA of Camellia sinensis, 407 nucleotides long. The record is from RefSeq and is a predicted model, not a curated record. NCBI's taxonomy places the organism in Eukaryota, Viridiplantae, Streptophyta, Magnoliopsida, Ericales, Theaceae.
CAAAACAUAGAUGUGGUUCUAGGUUAAUCCCUGUUAGAGUAGAAAAACUGGCACGAGAAAAGAAGAUGCUACCUGAUCUAGCAGAGUUGUACAAGGAAACUCACUAUAAUGAGAAAACACAUGAGUGGAUCUCAUCUCAAGCUCAGUGUAAUUAUGAAAAUAUGAUACAGACAUAGGCUGAUCACCUCUCACAGCCGGGAUCAACCCCUUUGACUGCAGAAAAGCUGUCAAUCAAAGUCCUAAAGCCAAGGUCUGGCUAUGUGAAGGGACUUGGCAUGAGACCUUCAUCCUCUAUUAGGAGGACCACUACCAUAUAUGCUGAAACAAAUGAUUAUGUGAAGCGCCUUGAGAUGCAAAUAGAGACACAGAAGGAACAAAUACAAAUGCAGAACAAUAAAAUAGAAGAU